CAGGUACAGCCUCGGAGUAGACACCGACAGGCCGGGCUUCUUCCGAUCUACACCUUCACUCUAUCUCUCUCAAUCUAGUAGAACUAGUCUACUCUCACAUUGGAUGCUACGCCCUAUGAGGUGGGAACCCUAAGGAACCUCUCUCUCUGAAUCCUCUCUGGAAAAUAUGCUAAUGAAUAAUUGGAUUCUCCCCUCCAGUGGCCAGGGGGCCUUGCUUAUAUAGUCUUUUCAAAUGAAU
RNAcentral lists this long non-coding RNA (238 nucleotides) under Sorghum bicolor (sorghum). Its description in RNAcentral is "long non-coding RNA (SBIC_LNC006901)". Lineage: Eukaryota; Viridiplantae; Streptophyta; Magnoliopsida; Poales; Poaceae. The record is from RNAcentral.